UACGUAGGGUGCAGGCGUUAAUCGGAAUUACUGGGCGUAAAGCGUGCGCAGGCGGUUUCUUAAGUCAGAUGUGAAAGCCCCGGGCUUAACCUGGGAACUGCGUUUGAAACUGGUAGACUUGAGUGUGGCAGAGGGGGGUGGAAUUCCACGUGUAGCAGUGAAAUGCGUAGAUAUGUGGAGGAACACCGAUGGCGAAGGCAGCCCCCUGGGUUAACACUGACGCUCAUGCACGAAAGCGUGGGGAGCAAACAGG
This 253-nucleotide ribosomal RNA is filed under the name uncultured bacterium. RNAcentral's name for it is "partial 16S ribosomal RNA". It matches the Rfam family "Bacterial small subunit ribosomal RNA", at positions 524 to 776 of the family's 1533-position model. The record is from RNAcentral.